AUUGAACGCUGGCGGCAGGCUUAACACAUGCAAGUCGAGCGGGGUGAUGGUGCUUGCACUAUCACUUAGCGGCGGACGGGUGAGUAAUGCUUAGGAAUCUGCCUAUUAGUGGGGGACAACAUCACGAAAGGGAUGCUAAUACCGCAUACGUCCUACGGGAGAAAGCAGGGGAUCACUUGUGACCUUGCGCUAAUAGAUGAGCCUAAGUCGGAUUAGCUAGUUGGUGGGGUAAAGGCCUACCAAGGCGACGAUCUGUAGCGGGUCUGAGAGGAUGAUCCGCCACACUGGGACUGAGACACGGCCCAGACUCCUACGGGAGGCAGCAGUGGGGAAUAUUGGACAAUGGGGGGAACCCUGAUCCAGCCAUGCCGCGUGUGUGAAGAAGGCCUUAUGGUUGUAAAGCUCUUUAAGCGAGGAGGAGGCUCUUUUGGUUAAUACCCAAGAUGAGUGGACGUUACUCGCAGAAUAAGCACCGGCUAACUCUGUGCCAGCAGCCGCCGUAA
RNAcentral lists this ribosomal RNA (503 nucleotides) under uncultured bacterium. RNAcentral describes it as "partial 16S ribosomal RNA". It matches the Rfam family "Bacterial small subunit ribosomal RNA", at positions 30 to 523 of the family's 1533-position model. The record is from RNAcentral.